This 253-nucleotide ribosomal RNA is filed under the name uncultured bacterium. Its description in RNAcentral is "partial 16S ribosomal RNA". It matches the Rfam family "Bacterial small subunit ribosomal RNA", at positions 524 to 776 of the family's 1533-position model. The record is from RNAcentral.
UACGUAGGCAGCAAGCGUUGUUCGGAAUUACUGGGCGUAAAGAGUGUGUAGGCGGUGCUCUAAGUUCGGUGUGAAAUCUCCUGGCUUAACUGGGAGGGUGCGCCGGAAACUGGGGUGCUCGAGCGUGGGAGAGGAAAGCGGAAUUCCUGGUGUAGCGGUGAAAUGCGUAGAUAUCAGGAGGAACACCAAUGGCGAAGGCAGCUCGCUGGGACGGUACUGACGCUGAGGCGCGAAAGCGUGGGGAGCAAACAGG